GACGAACGCUGGCGGCGUGCUUAACACAUGCAAGUCGAACGGUAAGGCCCUUCGGGGUACACGAGUGGCGAACGGGUGAGUAACACGUGGGUGAUCUGCCCUGCACUUCGGGAUAAGCCUGGGAAACUGGGUCUAAUACCGGAUAGGACCUUUGCCUUCAUGGGUGGGGGUGGAAAGCUUUUGCGGUUUGGGGUGGGCCCGCGGCCUAUCAGCUGGUUGGUGGGGUGAUGGCAUACCAAGGCGACGACGGGGAGCCGGCCUGAGAGGGUGACCGGCCACACUGGGACUGAGAUACGGCCCAGACUCCUACGGGAGGCAGCAGUGGGGAAUAUUGCACAAUGGGCGCAAGCCUGAUGCAGCGACGCCGCGUGAGGGAUGACGGCCUUCGGGUUGUAAACCUCUUUCAGCACCGACGAAGCGAAGUGACGGUAGGUGCAGAAGAAGGACCGGCCAACUACGUGCCAGCAGCCGCCGUAA
RNAcentral lists this ribosomal RNA (477 nucleotides) under uncultured bacterium. RNAcentral describes it as "partial 16S ribosomal RNA". It matches the Rfam family "Bacterial small subunit ribosomal RNA", at positions 28 to 523 of the family's 1533-position model. The record is from RNAcentral.